UUACGGUCACAUCACGUUGAAACACCUGUUACCGUAUCAUCACCAAAGUUAAGCAACGUCGAGCCUGGUCAGUACAUUGAUAGGUGAUCGCUUGGGAAAACCAGGUGCUGUAAG
Non-coding RNA from Acanthosepion pharaonis, 114 nucleotides. Lineage: Eukaryota; Metazoa; Mollusca; Cephalopoda; Sepiida; Sepiidae. The record is from the annotation of a GenBank genome assembly.